RNAcentral lists this long non-coding RNA (1927 nucleotides) under Homo sapiens (human). RNAcentral describes it as "HSALNT0142259". The record is from RNAcentral. Lineage: Eukaryota; Metazoa; Chordata; Mammalia; Primates; Hominidae.
UCAAAAGGAAAGAUCUAGAAAGCCAAGGUUUAAAAUUGGGCUGGCACAUAAUAGGUGUUCAAGAGAUGUUGAAUAACUCCUCAACACCCUCCAAUGCAGACUCUCAGGAAGGACCACAGGAAGACACAGCAAGAAGACUGCCAUCUGCAAGCCAGGAAGAGAGCCAUCACCAGAGCCUAACCGUGCUAGUACUUUGAUCUGGAACUUCCAGCCUCCAGAACUGUGAGAAAACAAAUUUCUAUUGUUUAAGUUAUCAAGUCUAUGAUAUAAUGGCAAGCCAAGCUGACUUAAACAGUCAUUAUCUAAUUCAUCCUUUGAACUGACUCUCGUAAUAAUAAUGUGAUAAACAGACUAGCAGCUCCUGUUGAUUGCACACCUGCUAUAUAUCUGGCACUGUUUCAGAUACUUUAUGAAAUGUAAUUCUAAUUCUCAAAUCAACUAAAAGGUAGAUAUAAUCUGCGCCUGCAGAUGAACCAAGCAAGUCUCACAGAGAUGAAGUGAUGUGCUCAAGAUCACACAGCAAGCCAGAAUAAAAUCCAGACAGGUUCCAAGACCCAAGAUCUUCUCUCUUCUCCUGGACCGACAGUCAUCUAGCUCUUCCUUGAAUACCUCCAGUGAUGAUAUUUCCUUCUAAGGUAGCUUGUUCCAGGUUAAAUGUGAAACAGGUUCAAGUUGUGGUUUGUUUUUAUUUUGUGUUCAGCUGAAACCUGCCUCUGUAUUAUUUUUUCAAUUGUCCCUAGCCCACUCCUAUAGUAUUUUAUUCUUCAUAACAGGAUUUCAUCAUCUUCUUUUGGUCUACCCUCUUUUAGGGUGAACCAUAUUCAAUGAGUAAUUCAUUGUCUAUGGAUUUGUUUCCACCUGUGAAGCAAAAGGACUUUGGUCCUCAUCCUCAAAUUGCCUUCGGUUCUAUCUGGAGGUCUGCAAAAGAAUUUUUAAGUUUUUAAGCAGUAUAACCAUGGGCCUCAGCUCUACUGGUAUUCCUACUUGUCCACUUGUUUAUAUCUGUUAUCACUGCUCACCAUGAAAAGCCCAAAGUCAUUUCAAAAGUAUAUACCAGAUGCUACUGGGAUUUUUAGACCUUACAACAAACAAAUAAACAAACAAACAAACAAAUCAAGCAGUGCUACUGGCAAUACCAAGAAAAGAUGAAGAAGACAGGUUCAAAGAGAAUAAUUAAUUUCCCCAAACUCAUACAAACAUUGGCAGAGAUGAAAAUACAUUAUGUGAUUCCCAAAUCUAUGGCUUUACAUGGUACUAGAGGAUCAGUUGAAAGGCAUGGAAAUUAGAGGACUGGCCAAGUAAGGACACAGCUGAGAAAGCAGCCUGCAAGCCAUUAAAGAAGACCUCACUAGAAAACAACACUGGCACCUUAAUCUUGGACUUCCAGACUCUGCAAAGUUUGGGCAUCCUGAUGGUUAAUUUUAUACAUCAACUUGCCAGAGCCAUGCUGCCUACAUAUUUAGUCAAACGUUAUUCCAGAUACUUCCAUAAAGAUGCUUUUCUUUUUAGAUGAGAAUAGCAUUUAAAUCUGUGGAUUUUAAGUAAAGUAGAUUGUCCUCCAUCAUAAUGUGGGCUUCAUAUAAUCAGUUGAAGGCCAUAAUAGAACAAAAGCUGACCUUUCCAGAACAAGAGGGAAUUCAGCUAGCAGACUGCAUUUAGACUUCAAUUGCAACUUGUCCUCGAGCCUCCAGCGUGCUGAUCUACCCCAUUUUAUUUGGAUUCUUCAAAUCUCUGCAAUCACAUGAGCCAAUUCCUUAAUAUAAAUCUCUCUCUCUCUUUCUUUACACAUACACGCACACACACACGCACGUAUACACACACACACUGUGUUGGUUUUGUUUCUCUGGCAAAUCCUGAUCAAUGCAGGGAUAUAUAUUUAAGUGAUAUUAUUUUAAUGGCUACACGCACAUUUUUAACCUGCAGUCAC